Molecule: ribosomal RNA, 253 nt
Filed under: uncultured bacterium
Lineage: Bacteria
Description: partial 16S ribosomal RNA
Rfam family: Bacterial small subunit ribosomal RNA
Source: RNAcentral
UACGUAGGGGGCGAGCGUUGUCCGGAUUUACUGGGCGUAAAGAGCGCGUAGGCGGAGAUCUAAGCGUGGCCUGAAAGCCCCCGGCUCAACCGGGGAGUGCGGCUGCGAACUGGGUUUCUUGAGGACGAUAGAGGAGAGUGGAAUUCCUGGUGUAGCGGUGAAAUGCGUAGAUAUCGGGAAGAACACCCGUGGCGAAGGCGGCCUUCUGGUCCAGUACUGACACUCAAGUGCGAAAGCGUGGGGAGCAAACAGG